AGUCGAGCGAACAGAUGAAGUGCUUGCACUUCUGACGUUAGCGGCGAACGGGUGAGUAACACGUAAGGAAUCUACCUAUAAGCGGGGGAUAACAUUCGGAAACGGGUGCUAAUACCGCAUAAUAUCUUCUUCCGCAUGGAAGAAGAUUGAAAGACGGCUCUGCUGUCACUUAUAGAUGACCUUGCGGUGCAUUAGUUAGUUGGUGGGGUAACGGCCUACCAAGACGAUGAUGCAUAGCCGACCUGAGAGGGUGAUCGGCCACAUUGGGACUGAGACACGGCCCAAACUCCUACGGGAGGCAGCAGUAGGGAAUCUUCCGCAAUGGGCGAAAGCCUGACGGAGCAAUGCCGCGUGAGUGAAGAAGGCCUUCGGGUCGUAAAACUCUGUUAUAAGAGAAGAACAAAUUGUAGAGUAACUGCUACAGUCUUGACGGUAUCUUAUCAGAAAGCCACGGCUAACUACGUGCCAGCAGCCGCGGUAAUACGUAGGUGGCAAGCGUUGUCCGGAUUUAUUGGGCGUAAAGGGAGCGCAGGUGGUUUCUUAAGUCUGAUGUGAAAGCCCACGGCUUAACCGUGGAGGGUCAUUGGAAACUGGGAAACUUGAGUACAGAAGAGGAAUGUGGAACUCCAUGUGUAGCGGUGGAAUGCGUAGAUAUAUGGAAGAACACCAGUGGCGAAGGCGACAUUCUGGUCUGUUACUGACACUGAGGCUCGAAAGCGUGGGGAGCAAACAGGAUUAGAUACCCUGGUAGUCCACGCCGUAAACGAUGAGUGCUAGGUGUUGGAGGGUUUCCGCCCUUCAGUGCCGCAGUUAACGCAUUAAGCACUCCGCC
RNAcentral lists this ribosomal RNA (832 nucleotides) under Aerococcus sp. I52-CRBM-T3P21. RNAcentral's name for it is "bacterial SSU rRNA". It matches the Rfam family "Bacterial small subunit ribosomal RNA", at positions 60 to 873 of the family's 1533-position model. Lineage: Bacteria; Bacillati; Bacillota; Bacilli; Lactobacillales; Aerococcaceae. The record is from RNAcentral.